RNAcentral lists this unclassified non-coding RNA (377 nucleotides) under Hevea brasiliensis (rubber tree). Lineage: Eukaryota; Viridiplantae; Streptophyta; Magnoliopsida; Malpighiales; Euphorbiaceae. The record is from RNAcentral.
UCGCAAUAAUGAAGCCGGUACUGACUGGGAACCUCCAAUUGGAUUAGGAGGUCCUGUUGGAACCAUUUUUUACCAAGAAGUACACAAUCUACUAACACUUGAUCAAAUAUAGAAACUUUCUUAAAGAUGGCAUAAAAGCCUCAAGUGAGUAGAGAAAACUCAUAAAAAAAUGGCAUCAAAUCCCCCACUAAGCUGAAGAAACUUCAAUUGCUCCGAAGAAAGCACUAGGCAGAGAACCAAGCAAAACCAAUAAGGUCAUUCAAUUUCAGACUUCUUUCCGCUCAAGUAAAUUUCUUUUGCUGCAUCAUCCACCAGAAGACAAUUUCAACACCGACCCACCGAAGAUUGAGUAGAUUCCUUACACGGAACUAGAAGCA